AUUGCUUCUCAGCCUUUUGGCUAAGAUCAAGUGUAGUAUCGAGCUCUGCCAUUUGCAGACUGUUAGAAAUGAACCUUUCGAGUUUUAAGACUGGUAAUAUGAGAACAAUAGCUUUUUCUUUAAGUUUUUAUUUAAAUUCCAGGGACGCCUGGGUGGCUCAGAGGUUGAGCAUCUGCCUUUGGCUCAGGGCGUGAUCCCGGGGUCUGGGAUGGAGUCCCACAUAGAGCUUCCUGUGAGGAGCCUGCUUCU
Molecule: small nuclear RNA, 249 nt
Filed under: Canis lupus familiaris (dog)
Lineage: Eukaryota; Metazoa; Chordata; Mammalia; Carnivora; Canidae
Description: U2 spliceosomal RNA (ENSCAFG00030024001.1, ENSCAFG00040018030.1, ENSCAFG00845015976.1)
Rfam family: U2 spliceosomal RNA (bases 1-78)
Source: RNAcentral